This is a non-coding RNA of Triticum urartu, 135 nucleotides long. The record is from Rfam. Lineage: Eukaryota; Viridiplantae; Streptophyta; Magnoliopsida; Poales; Poaceae.
CAAGUACUCCAUCCGUUCGAAAUUACUUGUCUUAAAUUUGUCUACAUACGGAGGUAUCUAACAUUAAAAUGAGUCUAGAUACAUCCGUAUCUAGACAAAUCCAAGACAAAUAAUUUAAAACGGAGGAAGUAGCAC